GUGGGGAGCAAAACAGGAAUAGAUACCUGUAGUCCACGCCGUAAACGAUGAGUGCUAGGUGUUAGGCCCUUUCCCGGGGCUUAAGUGCCGCAGCUAACGCAUUUAAGCACUCCCGCCUGGGGAGUACGACCGCAAGGUUGAAACUCAAAGGAAUUGACGGGGGCCCGCACAAGCGGUGGAGCAUGUGGUUUAAUUCGAAGCAACGCGAAGAACCUUACCAGGUCUUGACAUCCCGAUGCUAUUCCUAGAGAUAGGAAGUUUCUUCGGAACAUCGGUGACAGGUGGUGCAUGGUUGUCGUCAGCUCGUGUCGUGAGAUGUUGGGUUAAGUCCCGCAACGAGCGCGACCCCCAUUGUUAGUUGCCAUCAUUAAGUUGGGCACUCUAGCGAGACUGCCGGUAAUAAACCGGAGGAAGGUGGGGAUGACGUCAAAUCAUCAUGCCCCUUAUGACCUGGGCUACACACGUGCUACAAUGGUUGGUACAACGAGUCGCGAGUCGGUGACGGCAAGCAAAUCUCUUAAAGCCAAUCUCAGUUCGGAUUGUAGGCUGCAACUCGCCUACAUGAAGUCGGAAUCGCUAGUAAUCGCGGAUCAGCACGCCGCGGUGAAUACGUUCCCGGGCCUUGUACACACCGCCCGUCACACCACGAGAGUUUGUAACACCCGAAGUCGGUGAGGUAACCUUUUGGAGCCAGCCGCCUAAGGUGGGAUAGAUGAUUGGGGUGAAGUCGUAACAAGGUAACCGUA
This 746-nucleotide ribosomal RNA is filed under the name uncultured bacterium. RNAcentral's name for it is "bacterial SSU rRNA". It matches the Rfam family "Bacterial small subunit ribosomal RNA", at positions 761 to 1504 of the family's 1533-position model. The record is from RNAcentral.